Molecule: long non-coding RNA, 1081 nt
Filed under: Mytilus galloprovincialis (Mediterranean mussel)
Lineage: Eukaryota; Metazoa; Mollusca; Bivalvia; Mytilida; Mytilidae
Source: RNAcentral
CGUCCGUCGUCCGUCGUUUACUUUUACAAAAAUCUUCUCCUCUGAAACUACUGGGCCAAAUUAAACCAAACUUGGCCACAAUCAUCAUUGGGGUAUCUAGUUUAAAAAUUGUGUCCGGUGACCCGGUCAACCAACCAAGAUGGCCGCCAUGGCUAAAAAUAGAACAUAGGGGUAAAAUGCAGUUUUUGGCUUAUAACUCAGAAACCAAAGCAUUUAAAGCAAAUCUGACAUGGGGGUUAAAUUGUUUGUCAGGUCAAGAUCUAUCUGCCUUGAAAAUUUCAGAUGAAUCGGUCAACCCAUUGUUGGGUUGCUGCCCCUGAAUUGGUAAUUUUAAGGAAAUUUUGCUGUUUUUGGUUAUUAUCUUGAAUAAUAUUAUAGAUAGAGAUAAACUGUAAACAACAAUAAUGUUCAGCAAAAUAAGAUUUACAAAUAAGUCUAUACUACCGAAAUGGUCAGUUGACCCCUUUAGGAGUUAUUGCCCUUUAUAGUCAAUUUUUAACCAUAUUUUGUAAAUCUGAGUAAUCCUUUACAAAAAUCUUCUCCUCUGAAACAACUGGGCCAAAUUAAACCAAACUUGGCCACAAUCAUCAUUGGGUAUCUAGUUUUAAAAAAUUGUGUCCAGUGACUCGGUCAACCAACCAAGAUGGCCGCCAUGGCUAAAAAUAGAUAAUAGGGGUAAAAUGCAGUUUUUGGCUUAUAACUCAAAAACCAAAGCAUUAAGAGCAAAUCUGACGGAGUUAAAUUGUAAAUCAGGUCAAGAUCUAUCUGCCUUGAAAAUUUCAGAUGAAUCGAACAACCCGUUGUAGGGUUGCUGCCCCUGAAUUGGUAAUUUUAAGGAAAUUUUGCUGUUUUUGGUUAUUAUCUUGAAUAAUAUUAUAGAUAGAGAUAAACAGUGAACAGCCAUUAUGUUCAGCAAAGUAAGAUUUACAAAUAAGUCAACACGACUGAAAUUGUCAGUUGACCCCUUUAGGAGUUAUUGCCCUUUAUAGUCAAUUUUUAACCAUUUUUCGUAAAUCUUAGUAAUCUUUUACAAAAAUCUUCUCCUCUGAAACUACUGGGCCAAAUUAAACCAAACUUGGCC